CAGUAGCUCAGUUGGUUAGAGCACCUGACUGUUAAUCAGGGGGUCGUUGGUUCAAGCCCAU
RNAcentral lists this transfer RNA (61 nucleotides) under uncultured Prevotella sp. It matches the Rfam family "tRNA", at positions 7 to 62 of the family's 71-position model. Rfam says of the family: Transfer RNA (tRNA) molecules are approximately 80 nucleotides in length. Lineage: Bacteria; Pseudomonadati; Bacteroidota; Bacteroidia; Bacteroidales; Prevotellaceae. The record is from RNAcentral.